This 444-nucleotide ribosomal RNA is filed under the name uncultured bacterium. Its description in RNAcentral is "bacterial SSU rRNA". It matches the Rfam family "Bacterial small subunit ribosomal RNA", at positions 28 to 460 of the family's 1533-position model. The record is from RNAcentral.
GAUGAACGCUGGCGGCGUGCCUAAUACAUGCAAGUCGAGCGAACAGAUGAGAAGCUUGCUUCUCUGAUGUUAGCGGCGGACGGGUGAGUAACACGUGGGCAACCUACCUAUAAGACUGGGAUAACUCCGGGAAACCGGGGCUAAUACCUGAUAAUAUUUUGAACCGCAUGGUUCAAUAGUGAAAGACGGCUUCGGCUGUCACUUAUAGAUGGACCCGCGCCGUAUUAGCUAGUUGGUAAGGUAAUGGCUUACCAAGGCAACGAUACGUAGCCGACCUGAGAGGGUGAUCGGCCACACUGGAACUGAGACACGGUCCAGACUCCUACGGGAGGCAGCAGUAGGGAAUCUUCCGCAAUGGGCGAAAGCCUGACGGAGCAACGCCGCGUGAGUGAUGAAGGUCUUAGGAUCGUAAAACUCUGUUGUUAGGGAAGAACAAAUUUGUUA